AAUAGGUGGUGACUUCCUCUACUCGCUUCAGUACAAGAAGGCGGACCUUUUUCCAGCAAGUCGGGUUGCUACCGGGACUACUGUGGAAGCUGGGUGGUUCUGAGGUACCAUCCCCUAGGCUUUCAGUGGCCUAUGGAAGUAGCAUGUCGGGGUGAAGAAGGUGGCUCCAUACCCGGGAAUGUGGGGUGUUUGGUUUGCGCAAAAGACAAAAGGAAAGACGGGGGCGAGCAAGCCCUCUUUUUCCGGAAGAAGGUCGACCCUUACUCUAUUU
RNAcentral lists this long non-coding RNA (271 nucleotides) under Panax ginseng (ginseng). Its description in RNAcentral is "long non-coding RNA (PGIN_LNC013828)". The record is from RNAcentral. Lineage: Eukaryota; Viridiplantae; Streptophyta; Magnoliopsida; Apiales; Araliaceae.